This 609-nucleotide small RNA is filed under the name Pan troglodytes (chimpanzee). Its description in RNAcentral is "retained intron". Lineage: Eukaryota; Metazoa; Chordata; Mammalia; Primates; Hominidae. The record is from RNAcentral.
UAAUACAGUAAUUUUAAACUGGGAGAUGAAAUGCUAAUUUCUAGAAGUCCAUUUGGUUUUGAAGGGUCUCAUGUCAAAAAAAAAAGUAAGUAAAAUAAGACCCAUCCUACUGUUUUAUAUACUAAAAUAGUAAGUUAAUUAAAUGAAAAUGAAGUACAUUUGGGCUUUCAUUUACCAAUCCUGGAAUGUUGAAAAGUUGCCCAAAAGACAUUUAGCAAGCAAAUGUAGCUAGCAAAAAAUCAUUUUAUGAUGGCAGGUUAAUACAAUUAUAAUUGAAUCAACAAUUUUUGAUACAUGUUGUAAAUCGCUGUAAAGUAAUACAGAAGGAAGAAAAACUUAUUUCCACUAAUAUUUUCUUUCAGGCAUUUGACAUUAUCACAGACUGACAUGGCAGCAUUAACAGGAGGAAAGGGAUUUCCCUUCUUGUUUCAACAUAUUCGUGAUGGCAUCAAUAUAAGACAAACUUGUAAUCUGAUUUUCAGCCUGUGUCGAUACAAUAAUCGACUUGCAGAACAUAUUGUAUCUAUGCUUUUCACAUCAAUAGCAAAGUUGACUCCUGAGGCAGCCAAUCCUUUCUUUAAGUUGUUGACUAUGCUAAUGGAGUUUGCU